GGGUUGGGGGGGCGUACCGGACAGUCGGCAACUGUGCAUGGCCCUCCGGGGCCGGCCUUUUGCCCAGCAAUGGACCUGACGAUACUGAAAGCGUGUUUGGGGCUGGUAUCCUGGGACCUUCACAUGGUGGCCCUGUUUAAACCAAUCUUACCAGGAUGUGCUUCCAGAAGGGUUACAUCUAAAAACAAGGUACAAGCUACCACGGAUGAGAAGCUUACUGGAGAGAAGAGGGAAAGUAGCGAUGAACCAACAACUUCAGGGGAAUCCGAUCGUCCAAUCCAAGUUUAACCCUCCCCCUCCCCACUGGAGAUGAGAGGCUGUAGAGGAAUUUGUUGUGAUGACAAUGAAUCAUUCUAAUCAAAGUCAGUAUGGGCUCUGAGAAACACGCAGGAGACAAGAUCUGCCGCAGUCAUUGUUAGCAAGAACUACCAGUUUAAUAAGGUGGACCACACAGACAGCACGAUAGCCUUGCAAAGGAUAGCGUUUCUCACGAGUGGAUUUACAACUGACUGACCAAUCAACCUUCAUCAGAACUUUCUGAAGUAGUGGUGCUGGGAAAGUGGUGCUGGGAAAGCUAGGUUUUCAGGGAGGUUGCUGACAGCCAGGUGAUGACCAGCAUCUUUCACUAGUAGUCUCCUGGUCUUCCACUGCAUCUCGAAUUUCUUGCCACCACAGACGGAUGUUUCAGUGAAGUAGUUUUGCUCCAACCUCUCUGCCAUCUGCCAUGCGAUGGGCGCUAGAGCACAUCCCGUUGAGGAAGUCGGUAGCUAGGGGUGGAGGAGCAAAGUUCAAGUUAACAAAGCUGAUGUUUAAUGGUAGCUACUAGAUAUCCUGGAUGCUGACUCUGCCUAGGACCUUAGUAACCUGAGCAAGUCAUCAGACGUCUGUUAUCAGAACCACAAGAAGAGGAACACAUGUGUUUCAGGUUUUCCUGCUCUUACCAAGAAGACGUUGCUCUUGAUGUUGGAAUGCCCUGAAACUGCACCACUUUGUGAUGACAUCAAACAUCAGAGAAACUACAUCCAAGGUGCCUUGGGUCUAUUUAGAAUGUACUGGGCUAUUAAAUGUAAAUGGUUUAAGGUAUAUGGG
RNAcentral lists this long non-coding RNA (1089 nucleotides) under Patiria miniata (bat star). RNAcentral describes it as "uncharacterized LOC119733398, transcript variant X5". The record is from RNAcentral. Lineage: Eukaryota; Metazoa; Echinodermata; Asteroidea; Valvatida; Asterinidae.